This is a long non-coding RNA of Bombus impatiens (common eastern bumble bee), 1483 nucleotides long. RefSeq lists it as uncharacterized. The record is from RefSeq and is a predicted model, not a curated record. The transcript is spliced from 2 exons. Lineage: Eukaryota; Metazoa; Arthropoda; Insecta; Hymenoptera; Apidae.
UCGUUGCAAUGCUUCCACAAAUUAAAACUUCCUUGUUUAUCAUCAAUGCAAGUAUAAAUAUAGACCGUGUAAGCUCCAUCAAGAAUCACAAAACUGGAGCUACAAGACUACUCAUUUUUUCUUGAUGCUUAAUUAGAAUGUUUGGAAACACCAAUUCUACGUCGUGCUAGAUUAAAGUUUAAACAAGAAGAUCGGACUACGCGAAAUUUUUCUGGAAUUAGAGUUUAUUUUGACAUUUAAAUUUAAUUAACAAAGCGAAGAAGAAGAAAAUAAUACAAAGGACUUUCUUCUCAGAAGAAUUUCCUUAUAAGAUCACGUGACAACGGGGUCCCGCAAUCGAAUCUGGAAAGAGACGCUCAAGCAACCAGAGGACUUUCGCCAACUUUCCAAAUGUAGAAGCUUCUCAGCCGUAUUGAAAUCUGCCUUCGAGAAGAAGAAGAACGAAAACACUGGCAACGAGCUUGUCUAAAACGGGGAAAAAGUUUCGCUACAGCUCGUUGAACCGGUAAGAACGAUACGGUUGCGAGUUUCGCGGCUGACGGAAGAUACCAGAACGACGAUUAUUUGGUUAUCGCGUUGAGUCUCGCGCUGAUUGGACAGUCCUUGAGUGUUAGCUUGUUACUUGGACGUUGGUCUUCCAGUUCUCGCGAUUGGUACUCCUAGAACUUCCGAUUGAAAUUGCAUCGCGUCCCUAAUUAACGGUAAGAAUUUCGUCGAGGCGAUCCUCCAGCCACAGAAUCGCCCUGAUUGCUGUUUACCUUACGUGCUUUCUUGUACCGAAUCAAAGAAAUAUACUACAUAUAGAAUAUAUAUAGAAAGAAUAGCCUCGUUUACUGGUUGGUUGGAACUAAACGGGUGAUUGGGGACGUGGGGACUUAGUUUGUAGUAGUUUGUGGAGGUUCGUGGGGCAGGUUAAGAGUAAAAUCGUGGAAGUUUGAUAGAGUCAGUUUGGCAUUAUUUGAAAACUUGGGUACAAAUGAGAUUGGUAAGAUAUUUAGAGUUUGAAGUUUGAAUUCUUUCUGAAGUUAUAGAAAUAAGAUUAAUUUGAAUGGUAUUUUUAGGAUUAAGAAUUUUGUAAUGAUGGAAUAAUGGCAAUUUCUACAUUAGCUCCUCUCGUCUACCUUUUUAGUCUUUGAACGAAGAGCAUUUAGUAAGCAUCUCUUAUAUGGAUAAGAAGUUUCUUCUUUUCGGUAGUUUUAAGUAUUAUUUUAUCUCCUACAGUAUAACAAACUUAUAGUAUAUAUAAGAUUAGUGUGAUAUGUAUAGCGUAAAUGCUACUAAGAUACAUAAAUAUUCCUGUCUUUCAAUAUAUAAGUUUGAUACCAUAAUAGUGAAAAACAUGUUGCACAUAUUUAAUAAAACUAUUCAAAGAACGAGCACCUAGUUAUGUGAUAUUUUCACAAAAAAAAAAAAAAAAUAAAAAAUUGUUAAAAGAAAUAUAUAAAUGACUACCCAAAUGAUUGCCCAGGCAAAGAUUGAGUCU